This 301-nucleotide ribosomal RNA is filed under the name uncultured bacterium. RNAcentral describes it as "partial 16S ribosomal RNA". It matches the Rfam family "Bacterial small subunit ribosomal RNA", at positions 509 to 807 of the family's 1533-position model. The record is from RNAcentral.
CAGCCGCCGCGGUAAUACAGAGGGUGCAAGCGUUAAUCGGAAUUACUGGGCGUAAAGCGCGCGUAGGUGGUUUGUUAAGUUGGAUGUGAAAGCCCCGGGCUCAACCUGGGAACUGCAUCCAAAACUGGCAAGCUAGAGUACGGUAGAGGGUGGUGGAAUUUCCUGUGUAGCGGUGAAAUGCGUAGAUAUAGGAAGGAACACCAGUGGCGAAGGCGACCACCUGGACUGAUACUGACACUGAGGUGCGAAAGCGUGGGGAGCAAACAGGAUUAGAUACCCGUGUAGUCCCUGUCUCUUAUAC